AUGACUUUGAAUCAAGGCUGGCAGUUUUCUGAAGCUGUUUGUUUCAAGCAGGAGCCUAAGUGGUAUCUUUCUAUGAUCUGUUGGCCAUUUCAGAUCUUCAGAAAUGUAAUAGUCAACUCAUUAGAAAAAAACAACU
This is a small nucleolar RNA of Cavia porcellus (domestic guinea pig), 136 nucleotides long. The record is from Ensembl. NCBI's taxonomy places the organism in Eukaryota, Metazoa, Chordata, Mammalia, Rodentia, Caviidae.